Long non-coding RNA from Phyllopteryx taeniolatus (common seadragon), 4955 nucleotides. RefSeq lists it as uncharacterized. NCBI's taxonomy places the organism in Eukaryota, Metazoa, Chordata, Actinopteri, Syngnathiformes, Syngnathidae. The record is from RefSeq and is a predicted model, not a curated record. The transcript has 5 exons.
AGUUGAAGCUCUCGUGCCCUUGGGGAGGGAGAGGAGAGGAGAGGAGAGGGGAAGAAAUGAGAAGGCUGGUCUGAAAUAAGAGUUGCUAAGUUUUACAGUUUGAGUGUUGGUGCCCAGAGGUAGCAACGGUUCUCACACUUGAGACAAUUCUCUAGAAGUAGAAGUACUGACUCAACUCCUGUACUUAAAACCGAAUUCGGAUAUUUUAUUCUAACUACUGUAUACAUGUUUGAAGAUAAAUCUUGAAAACGUGCAAAGACGGCGAACUAUGUAGUUCUAAAUUGUGGAGCUAUAGCGUUAGUUUUUCACCAUUUCAGUUUUCCAGAUUGGCAAGGCUAAAACAGCGCCUGAAAAUGCACUACGACCUCCGGCAUGAGUAACCCUCAGCAUCUUCACUCACGUCGGCGGUUAUCUGGAACAGUUAGCUAGCUAGCUAUUUCAACACCCAGAAAGUAAAUCUUUCUUUAAGAUAGUCCGCUUGUGUGGCUGCUUUAGAGUGCCUCGUUGUCAGCACUGAACCCGCAAUGUUAAUCGCAAUGUAGCGAGGGACGACGGUAUUCGGCAAUUCUUUUAACCAUUCCAAUUCGGCAGGAUUGUUAACAACUCUUUAGGGACUUUAUGUAAAAGUACAUACUUUAAAAACGCCAAUAACAGCGAACCCCCACACAUUUGUGGUUCGCCAAUCGCACACGGAUGUGCACAGUGCCAUCUGGUGGCAUCUUGGUGUUAAGGAAGUACGUUAAAGUGAGUUGAGGAGUUUCAUUUCGACAUCAGUAGAGCUUUGCCACCAUUUUGUAGCAAUUGCAUACCUUUUUCAGAAGGGCUGUUAACGAUAACAUAACCUCCAAUACCUGUUUUGAAAACCUGCACACAUGGUUUCCCUUUGGCUGACUUACGUUGCGCUCUUACUGAGAAGAAGAUAACAUCGCAAGGUAAGAGCUAGCUAGCGUUGGCUCAACUUUUAUUCUAUCAAAACAAUGUGUUCCUGCAGCUUUGCAAACAUUGUGAACAGAGUAACAAAAAAUGUUCAAUUCGAUAAUGUGAGCAACAGAAAAAAAAAAUAUACCUUUUUUUUUGUAGGUAUGUUUUUUUCAGAUUAGACGGAGAAUUGUACAAAUUUCGGUACAAAAAAAGUGACGUCAAAAUAGAUCAAAAGACUUGCGUAAGGCACAGAUUUAUGACAAAUCGACUUAAAACCUCACUGGCAGCUCCUGCUGGCUUCCCUGAGCACCUCUUUACACAACGGCAGAAAUAAACCAAGGCGAAAUGUGGACCUGAACAGUUGCACAGUACAGUAGUGCGGUGCAAGCACAUUCUAUAACAGGGCGGAGGCCUUCUCGGAGUUGCCAGCAAUGCGGUGGGCUGACUGAGGGAGGAAUGAUUAUUAUCUACUAUGGAGAACAUCAAACAGCUGCAGAGCGAUAACGCCUCCGCGCGCUCUGUCCACAUGCUUCACAGCUGCGCAUGUGUGGCUGCGACUAUUCUUAGCCAACACUGCCAAGAGCAGCGAUGUCUGACGUGCGGAUGUGAGGAGUUGGAUAAUGAAAAGGUGUGUUUUAUUCGAUUUGAUUAAAAUCUCGCACUGCGGAAAGAAAAAAACAUUGAGACUCCUAACUGCUGGGGAAGUGAUUGGUCCAUCUGAUUCCCUGCAAGUUACCAUGGCAGCAGUAUGGCGGUCGUGAUAGAAAAAUCUUAUAGCACACUGGAAUAGUAGCAACAUUGUUUGGACAAAAUGAUUAGGAUACGUGGUCAUUACACUUGAUUUAUAUACCGUAGUACGUUUCAUUAAGGGGACACAAAGUGCUUAACACGGUUAUAGAAUAGUCAGAGGUGGGUAGCAUAGCUCAAGUAAGAGUACUGUUACUUUUGAGUGAUAUGACUCAAAAGUCAAAAGCAGUGCUCCAAAUAAUUCAGUAAUAAGAGGAAGCAUGUAGAGCGGAACAAGGACGGGCCCUCUAGUGACCCUUGAGGCACACCGCAGGUGGGGCGGGGGAUAGACUAAAUUAUGGGGGCCAAUAACCACAGAAGAAGACGAUUAUAUAUAUAUAUAUAUAUAUAAACAAUGAAAACAUCUUUCACUCUUCUGAGCCAGGUUUGUGCAUGUUGCUGUUUAUGUGUGGACAUUUUUGUCAAAGGUGUUCGACCGUUUUCUUCCAUGCCAAACUCCUCCAAAAAUGUGUUUCUGGAGCUUUCUUUCCACGCUGAUUGUCAUUCUGGAACAAGAAAUGACCUUAUCCAAACUGUUCCCGUAAAUGUGUCCAAAAUGUCCAAGGUUAAGGUUCAUAUUUGAGGACUAAAGGGCUGGAUACGCAAUCCCUCAAACAUAUUUGUGCAGUACAUUUUAAUUUAAUCAUUAGGAAUAAACCCUCUGCCUCGUUUUUGGUGAACACUUCGUCCUUCUACCGCGCUACUAAAUUUUAAUGUUGGUCAUUAUGGCGGUGCUUGGGCUACUGUAAGUAUUUCACUGGGUGGCGCUUGGUGUAAAAAGUUCGAGAAGCGCUGUAGUACAUGAUCCGAACGUGCGUCUGUGUGCGGGUGCGUAUCCACAAGAGGCUCAAAGCCGCACUACAAUGGACGAAAGCCGAUCGCUGGCAUUUCGUGAGUUAGUUGAAAGCAAAAUGACAUUUCCCGCACAUAUAAUUAGCUCGGCAUGACAUUUAGCGACAGAAAGCAAAUGUCUGUCUGCAAUCGUUUCAAAAUUCAAAUGACAGCAUGUGCUCUCUUUGUGCUCUUUUGUAUGGCAUCAUGGGAGGACGAGUAAGACCUCAAAAGUGGCUCAACAGCAGGGAGGAGCUCCAAAAUCUUGUCUGGAUCAGAUGUCUCACACGCAAACGUUGCUAGUGACAACAUGCAGAUGUUCAGCGUUGGAUGACGCCAGACCUUCUCUUUGCAUCACAACUAUUUGUCUGCACACUUUGGAAAAGAACAUUUUAACGGCCUGCUGGGUUAACAAGAGGACCGCUAAGGAAGACACGCAUUACGGUUUCGAGAUUCCACCGUGACGCUUCAAAGACCAACAGCGGACAUGCUCACGUGACAAUGUGACCGCCCACGACUUGGUAAACUGCAUUCUUCGAAGCCGCCCUGCUGGGAGACAGUCGCUAAGAGGACGCCUGGCGUAUUUCAAGUGGACCCUAAAGUAAUUAGCAGGUCCCCUCCAAAUCUUGGUUUACAUUCAUCAAAGAGUAUUUUUCUUCGUUUGAGCUGGCAGCGGCCAAAACGGACGAGUCGACAAAUGUGCACACAAGGCGACGCCCGCUGGCGUUGAGAGGAACUGCAAAGCCGAACCUUGAACUCGCAUUGAUAUUUAACCAAAGGAAAAUUUGUGUUAUAUUUUACGAACUCUGCUGAAUUAUUCCACGUUUGCCUUGAUGUCUGUGUCAGUGUGUCAACUUUACAAGCGCACCCAUUUUAUGGGUCAAAAUUGUAGUAUUCUGUCUUUAGUCUUGGAUAUAUAUAUAUAUUUUUUUUCUCGUAAUAUUUUGAUUUUAUUCCUGUGAACCUUGAGGUGUUGUUUUUACAUACACCUUGGAAGCUUCGAAUAUUAUGAAACCUUCCUUCUGUGUGUGAGGUGAGCGACGCAGGAUGAACGACUUGAAAAGAUGAGCCGGAGAGCUUUUGCAAAAUAAUCGGGAGCAACGGCUGUCAACUUUCCGGGUCGCCUCGGUCGAAAACGGUUGCUGCUGCUUUGAUUGGCGGGAUGAAAUUGGAUACGUGUUACACUUUGGCCUUGAGGGCGUGAUAGCGUUGAGAGGAAAACCCAAGUGCUGCUCUCCUCAUAGCGGCGGGCCCACGCAGCACCGCCAACUAAUGACGAGGAAAUAACUGUGGUUCACUUCUUGUCAAAAACGCACAUUUGAAGAGUUAUAAAUAAAUUCCUCUUGGAAACUUAACCCCGUCCACUGACAGCGUAAAUCCAAACACAUACGGGGGGAUGAGGAGGGGGCAUGUGUUCGUUCUAAUCCAAGCCGACUAGAAAAACUGCCACAUUUGAACCUGGUUUUCCUUAUUCCCAUUUAAUAUCGUAAACCGCACAUAUAUUUCUGGUUUGCCUUGUGCUUCCCACAGGCUUUAUUGGAUCGCAAGAGGGGGAAAUUAUCUAGCAUUGAGAAAGAAACACUUCACAAUGAAGCAUGGUUUGAAAUGGUUUAUAAUGGGUUAUCAAUGAGGUAAUAAACCGUUGAAUGGCAAUUUGGGGGCUCACAGUUUGGCAAUUCAAGCUACAGCCUCAAUUUUCUCACUGGAUAUGUUUAGACUUUAGUUUUUUCUUUAUUCUCUCAGGUCUAUGAGCCUGAGUUGCUGCAAUUCAUAAGCAAACAUGAAUUACUGCCUCAGUGCAGUCUCAACACGUUUGCAUUUAAGUUUGAAGAAAUGUUUGUUUUUAAGUUUUUAUUUAAGUACAUUUUAAAUUGAACUUUUAUGUGUUACAUUUCCAUUGGAUCAUUACUUCGGCAAAGGUUUUUUUUCCUAAUUUGUUUUGCGUUUUUGUGUAUAAUAUUUUGACUUUAUUCCUGUAAAAAUAUUUUCUUAUAUUAGACUUUAUUCUCAUAAAUUAUAAAUGCUUUUCAUAGUAUUCCAUAUUUAGUCGUGGAUAUUUUUAAAAAUAUUUUUUCUUGUAAUAUUUAGAUUUUAUUCCUGUGAACAUUGAGGUGUUGUUUUUCCCUUUAAUAUCAAAACCUUUGUCACUUUUUUUUUAUACUAUGACUAUAUAUAAUUUUAAGUUUUUCACAUACAAUUUGGACUUUAUUCUUGGAAAAUUCUAUCUUUUUUUUCUUAUAAUGUUACCAUUUUAGGAAUGUAACUCCAAUUCUGUUUUGUAUUGUGUGUUCGGAUUACACUAGUAAAUAUUAGAUGAUAAAAGUUGUGUAACUGGUUUGAAUACACGAUGUAUAAUUGUCUUUGUUUAGUCGGACAUUGAAUUCCAAAUGAUAUUGGCAAUAAACUGUUUAAAGAAU